GACGAACGCUGGCGGCGUGCCUAAUACAUGCAAGUCGAACGCAGUGGGGACGGGUGAGUAACACGUGGGUAACCUCCCAUCAGAGGGGGAUAACACUUGGAAACAGGUGCUAAACCGGAUAGUGGGGGAUGGACUCGCGUCCUAUCAGCUUGUUGGUGGGGUAGUGGCCUACCAAGGCGACGACGGGUAGCCGGCCUGAGAGGGCGACCGGCCACAUUGGGACGGAGACACGGCCCAGACUCCUACGGGAGGCAGCAGUAGGGAAUCUUCGGCAAUGGACGAAAGUCUGACCGAGCAACGCCGCGUGAGUGAAGAAGGUUUUCGGAUCGUAAAACUCUGUUGUUAGAGAAGCGGUAUCUAACCAGAAAGCCACGGCUAACUACGUGCCAGCCGCCGCGGUAAUAC
RNAcentral lists this ribosomal RNA (405 nucleotides) under uncultured bacterium. RNAcentral describes it as "partial 16S ribosomal RNA". It matches the Rfam family "Bacterial small subunit ribosomal RNA", at positions 28 to 526 of the family's 1533-position model. The record is from RNAcentral.